This 3837-nucleotide long non-coding RNA is filed under the name Sus scrofa (pig). RNAcentral describes it as "lncRNA (ENSSSCG00065059669.1)". The record is from RNAcentral. Lineage: Eukaryota; Metazoa; Chordata; Mammalia; Artiodactyla; Suidae.
ACCUCCAACACCGGAGACUGGGUGCAUAUUCACCUGCUGAGCAUCGUCCUCCUGCCCCCUCACGAUGUCCCUCCCAGACCUGGAAAUGCAGGGACCCUGGGGCGUAAACGCCACUGAGGAGCUUACGAUGAAACCAACACCUUUGUGCUUCAGGAAGACGCGGGCCCUAGAGCAGAAAUAACCGAAGCCCCACGUUCCAGUCGCGGGAUGCGUGAUGCGGGAGGGAGAUGGAUGGACUGAGCCAGAUGGACAAGGGUUUUCAGACUUGCCAGGUUUAUUUUGCCCUCAGCACCCAGCAUCCUUCCCUGAGCGGCCGGAGAGAACGGCGGGGGAUGCGGAUGAGGCACCCAGGCUUCAGUGUAAAGGUUCGACCACUUCCCGGAGCCUCGGUUCACCGUGUUGGUGGUUCCAGAACCAUCUCCUGGCUCCCACUCCCCUGCCCCUUGCCCUACAGCACCCACAGGCGCACCCUUGCUGCUGAGGAGCCUGGGCCGUCCGUGCUCUUCCGCAAAGCCUGCGUUCACCAGACGCCAACUUCGCGGCAGAAUCCCGGAGCCUGACUGUGGACCAGGUGGGAGUCAAAGAGCCAAGGAACAGCCUUGGGAGAAACACAGAAACGCACGGUUGACACUGGGAGACACUUCCCAGGAAGCCUUGCCUCCUGGAGAAGAGCUGCAGAGGCCGGAUCUGGGGUCCGAGGAGCUCCAGAAGCUGUCGGAGGGGGGGUCCCCAGGAGAGCUGGGCUCCAAGAAGCUCCAGCAUCUGAGGCUCAGGCCCUGGGAGCUGGGGGUCCAAGGAGCCCCAGCAUCUGUGGGGGCCCAGGGAGCACCCCAAGCGGAGCCGCCAGAACCCUGCCCUGGGGGCCCCAAGCUGUGCCGUUUAGGUCUUCAGGUAGUUCCCAACGUGAGGGGGUUUCCCCAGGGUGGUUUCAACGAACCGUGGGAAAGUCGUGAAGGUGGGAGUCACCAAGCCUCGCGGUCGUGCCAACGGCACAGCCCACCGAGGUGUGAAUCUAGACGAGUGUUUUUCAUGGUUCUCGGUCCCCCGCCUCUGCACCUGCUGCCCCUCCCGAGCCCCUGGCUCGUCCUGCCCGUCCGCUCGCCCCGAGGACUCUCCAGCCGGAGAGUUUCUGCUCUGACUCUGGGCUGGAGGCCUUGAGGGGAUUUAAGACGCGCCAGCCCCGCCUCGCCCCGUUGUUUCCAUCCAGUUUUCUGGGCCCACCCAUCGCUGGCUUGCUUCUGCUCAGGGCGCUUUUCUCCACAGGCACAGAAACCCCGGAUGUCGUCCUUCCCUCUGGGCGCCGGGCCGGGGCCUCAGGUGCAUGUGCACACUCGCUGGGAAGCUGCUGAAGGGCGGUUUCUCCGCUCAGAACUCGAGGAAACGCCCGGCCCUGUGGCGGCAGAAGCACCGGCCGCCCCGGCCCUCCCGCUGCCCGGCUGGGCCGCUGCUGUCCCCCGUCCCCGGGAAGGUCUGUCCCGAGGCGGAGCCGGUGUGGCGGGUUACUGCUUUCGUGAGAUGCUCCGAGACAGCCACGGCCAAAGGCAAAAUACAUGGGAAAGGCUGCGGACUCCGCCGCACCCGCGGCCUUUGGGAGAUAACGUGGCGAAAGAGCAUUUUUUAAAAAACCCCCUGGCAACUUUUUUUUCCGGCAUUUUUAACCCCGGUGCUUUCUGAGGCGAUAUCGAUUAACAACCAGCAGAGGCAGAGCCUCGGAAGACACGCGCUGGAAGGCGCUGCCGGCGACCAGGCGCGGCAGGUGGCGGAGGCGGGAAGGAGGAAGCGGUUCUGGGGGCGCGUCCCUCGCAGGGGUUGCAGCACGUGCCAGGUGGGGGGAACCCACGUGGGACAGGAAACCCCAGGUCCUGAAAAGGUGGCACCGCCUCCUGACAGAACCCGAGCAGCCGUCAAGGGUAACUGGUGCCGCGUGGGGCAGGUGGCUCCGUUUGACAAGAGCUAAGAUGGCUGAGAAGACCAAGAAAAUCCCAAAUCGAAAGAAACAGGACCACCGUCCACGAAGACAUUAGCUGCCUCUUCACACAGACAAGAGGUGAACUCUUUCGGGGCGGCCCCUCGGCCCCUCGGUCUAUCCCUCGAAGCUCCUUUCGCGUUCUCACCACCAUCCAGACAAACUCCCCGUCUGGACCCCGAGAACUCCCAGGCCGCGGUGUUUCCAGCAAGUGCAGGGUGGGGCGCGGGAUAGACGCCACGGUGUGUGUCUGCGGCGCACAAUUUGCUGUUCCAACCCGCCGACGUGUCCCUUGCAUCUGCCACCACAAAGUCAUGACCGUACCCACCCCUCCCGAAAUAUGCUGGCAUUCCGGCAAUUUCUCCUCCCCUACCCCCCUCUCCCGCUGCUGGUCCUGAGGAAACCGCGGGUCUGUUUCUGUGGCUGAAACAUCGUUUGCAUUUUGUGCGGAGUUGCGUCCUAGGGACUCUCGGUCGGACUUCUUCCACUGGUUUUCAGCAUGAUAAUUUGGAGAUUCAUCAGCGCGGCAGCACGCGUUCAUACCUGGUUUUACUUCCGGUGAGCGUGCCAUGGGGAGGUUAUCCGUUCCUCUGUCGGCGACACCGAGGCUGUUUCCAGUACUUGGCUUUUACAAAUAGGGUUGCUAUGAACAGGUGUAUGCAGGGCUUUGACCAGGUACACGUCUUCGUUUCACUGGGUUAAACGCCUAGGAUGAAAAACACAGCAGGUUUUGCAUGUAUUCGUCUUUAAGAAACUUGCAGGCUGUGUUCCAGAGGAACAGCUACUUGAGUGCCCACCAGCACACGGAAGAGUUCCAGUCGCUUCACCGCCUCACCCACACUGGGUGUGGUGGGUCUGUUGGGCGUGAGCACUGUCUAGGGUGGGGUGUGCGCUCCCCGUAGUUUUCGCCUGUGUUUGCCGUGACGACCAAUGCCACCGACACCCUAAUUUGAAAGACCUGUGCUGUCUUUGGGGAAGUGUCUGCUCAGCCACCUGGUCUACUUUCAGCUGGCUCUUUCUCUCCCGACUAAUGGGUGUUCAGUGGCCUGUCUGUUCUGAGUACGGUCCUGGUGAGAUGCAGGCUUUUGAGGUGUCUUCUGCCGCUCUUCCACCCCCUUGACGUUUUCCUUCAAAGGCUUCUCCCUCGGCUCAGUUCUGCGGCGGUGACGUCCAGGAGGCCGCAUGCAGACCCCAGGUCAGCCAGGUGCCACUCUCUCCCGGCUUUCUGAGGUUCGGAGCCUCCAGGGGGCCUUGCAGCUCUGUGCACGUGAGGGUGACAGCCUGGGUCCCCUCGCUCAGCAGAGGGGAAAACGCCGAAGUGCUGGGAGAGGAGAAGCAACGCUGAGUGACUGAGGGAGCCAGGGUUUGCAGCAAUGGGAACUGUCAGGAAUGUGCUCUCUUAAUGCAGAAGUGGAAUCGAUCCCGGGCCUGGCCCGCAGCAGGCAAAGAGGCCUCCUUCCUGGAGGGGCACGGGAGCGCGAGCGAGGCCAAGGCGGUGCAGGUGGGAGGGUGGGCUCACCGGGACAUCUGCACUCGGAGUCCCCGGAGCCCUCCGGGUGCUAGGGCGAGUUCAGGGGUCUCUCCCCGUCCCUCGCUGACCCCCAGGAGCCCUUCCAGAGCCGCAGGCUCCCAUCCAAGGGGAAGCGCUUCCUAGACGAAAACGACUCUCCCAUAGAGCGCGCGUUCCAAAGUGGUCAUUAGAGAGCAUGGAAAACUCCUCCUGGAAAGAGCUGGAAAGUUCUCAUGGAAACUAAGUUGGACUCGCACAUUGGAAAUCAGUCACCUGCGAUAUUUAAAAAUGAAGCUAAGCUGUCUGAGUGUACAUUUCAGAAAUGCAGCUGGAGCUGCCCAAUAAAAAUAUUUAAAACAUC